UUUGAGCAUUUAGGAUCGUUCUACAUAUCUGUUGCAUACAUUCUUGCAUUUUGGAGUUGUAUCAGGUGUUUUUAGGUACUAAAGAGCUGCGGAGGAAGAUGUACUCGAGUUAGUACUCGAACAGCACCUGAGAUCCUUGUCAGAGCAGAAGCGUUGAAGCAAAAGUCUUCAGCGUUUAACCAGACCACUCAACCAAGACACUCGGACUGCAUACUCGAGUAUACUCAAGACAACCACUCGAGCAGAUAUGUGAAGAGAAGAUCAAGCACUCGAGCAGCUGCAAGUACUCGACCACAUACUACUCGAGUAGGUACUCGAGUACCUACUCGAGUUCACCUGAGAGCUUCACUCCAGCAAGAUGCAACCUUUGAAGAGAAGUCUACUCGACCAAUACUACUCGAGUACCAACUCGAGUAGACCUUAAACCGACUUUCUAUUUUGUCAUUUUGUGUACUAGGGUUUUCUACUUUGACUAUAAAUAGACCUCUUAGGGCUUUGCCCAAAGGAUCUGGCUUUUAUCCUCUGAACAAUAUUUCUGCAAACUUUUGUAAUCCAAAUUACUUUUGAUCC
This 570-nucleotide long non-coding RNA is filed under the name Arabidopsis lyrata. RNAcentral describes it as "long non-coding RNA (ALYR_LNC000304)". Lineage: Eukaryota; Viridiplantae; Streptophyta; Magnoliopsida; Brassicales; Brassicaceae. The record is from RNAcentral.